GCCCGGAUGGCGAAACUGGUAGACGCAUCGGACUUAAAAUCCGCCGGGAGCAAUCCCUUGCCGGUUCGAUUCCGGCUCCGGGCA
This 84-nucleotide transfer RNA is filed under the name Pseudoxanthomonas spadix BD-a59. It matches the Rfam family "tRNA". From Rfam's summary of the family: Transfer RNA (tRNA) molecules are approximately 80 nucleotides in length. Their secondary structure includes four short double-helical elements and three loops (D, anti-codon, and T loops). RNAcentral also lists the same sequence under 1 other name. The record is from Rfam by way of RNAcentral. Lineage: Bacteria; Pseudomonadati; Pseudomonadota; Gammaproteobacteria; Lysobacterales; Lysobacteraceae.